RNAcentral lists this long non-coding RNA (281 nucleotides) under Ananas comosus (pineapple). Its description in RNAcentral is "long non-coding RNA (ACOM_LNC015329)". The record is from RNAcentral. Lineage: Eukaryota; Viridiplantae; Streptophyta; Magnoliopsida; Poales; Bromeliaceae.
UAAGCCCACAACGGAAGCACUCAUCGGGUACAUGCAACAAACCCGCCGAUCAGACAGAAUUUUUUCUAUUUGCACAAUACGUCACAAACAUGUAUACGCAACAUAUUCCAAAUAGAAAUUGAAUACAUGAAUUACAUAAGGAAAGUAUUAAAAAACGAAAGUAAAUACUACUUCUAUUACAUUUCAUAAUUCAUUCAUUUACAUAUAUAAACUUUUCAAUCCAAAAUACAAUCCAAAAUAAGCUUUACACUUUCAUAUCCCAUCUUUACAUUGUUCAAAAU